Molecule: ribosomal RNA, 456 nt
Filed under: uncultured bacterium
Lineage: Bacteria
Description: bacterial SSU rRNA
Rfam family: Bacterial small subunit ribosomal RNA
Source: RNAcentral
UACGGGAGGCAGCAGUGGGGAAUAUUGCACAAUGGGCGCAAGCCUGAUGCAGCCAUGCCGCGUGUAUGAAGAAGGCCUUCGGGUUGUAAAGUACUUUCAGCGGGGAGGAAGGGAGUAAAGUUAAUACCUUUGCUCAUUGACGUUACCCGCAGAAGAAGCACCGGCUAACUCCGUGCCAGCAGCCGCGGUAAUACGGAGGGUGCAAGCGUUAAUCGGAAUUACUGGGCGUAAAGCGCACGCAGGCGGUUUUGUUAAGUCAGAUGUGAAAUCCCCGGGCUCAACCUGGGAACUGCAUCUGAUACUGGCAAGCUUGAGUCUCGUAGAGGGGGUAGAAUUCCAGGUGUAGCGGUGAAAUGCGUAGAGAUCUGGAGGAAUACCGGUGGCGAAGGCGGCCCCUGGGACGAAGACUGACGCUCAGGGUGCGAAAGCGUGGGGAGCAAACGAGGAUUAGAUACC